Molecule: long non-coding RNA, 916 nt
Organism: Cuculus canorus (common cuckoo)
Lineage: Eukaryota; Metazoa; Chordata; Aves; Cuculiformes; Cuculidae
Exons: 3
Source: RefSeq, a predicted model, not a curated record
CGACGCCUGCUGCGUUGGAGAACUGGUAGUGAAAGCCCAAGUGAAAUCCACCCUGGAUAUAAGAAAAUGUCACUGUGGGACUCGCCCUUCCAGGACCCUCCGAGGUUGAGAGGGUGCAUCUGGCUCCAGAAGUACCUUGGUAUCUGCCUUGCCCAGGAGCCUGCUGAUGAAGAUUUCCUGUUUGUUUUGAGUCACUGCUGGAGUGAUAAAUAUACUUCGACUCUCUUCUCCGAGAGGAAAGAAACCAGCUGCCCCGAACUAAAGGGAAAAAUAUGUUGAAAUUCCACCAAAGGGCCCUGUUAUCACGAGGCUUCCAUGGAAGGAUGAAACCGGGGAACAUGAGCCACGACAAAGGAGCCAUUUCCAUAUUAAAAAUGUUCCUCCAUGCAUGGGGAAAUGCUGGCGAACAAUGUGUGCUUUUCCUUACUCACCAGCACAUUCCCAUUCCCUGGUCUCUCUCCUUUUGUAUCACUGACUGAAAUCACAUGGAACAAAAAUAAUCACGUUUAAGCAGUUUGAAGUGUACUUUUUUCCUUGGUUUACCUUUACCAUCUCUUAGUAAAAUAUAAUUUCUUCUUUAACAACAGAUGAAAAAAAAACUAUUGUGGCUUUAAAGCAUGAGAUUAUAAAAGACUGCAGCUAGUUUAGAUCUCACAGUUAGAAGUUAAUUCUAAGUCACUGGAAUUGAAAACAUCAGUUUACAACAUUUACUGGCUUGCUAUAAAAAUGUAUUCCCCUGUGUUAUGUUAAACAUGAGAAACUACACCUCGGUGUGUCCAUUAUUUAUAUAUUUAUUCAUAUCUCGCUGCUUCUGAUUCAGCUGUGUAACUGUAUGCAAAACAGAUAAUUACCGGGGAACAGAAUAAUUUGUAUUUUGAGGGGAGUGAAUACCCUGAAGGAUUUGCUUUUGGGGAAA